RNAcentral lists this ribosomal RNA (253 nucleotides) under uncultured bacterium. RNAcentral describes it as "partial 16S ribosomal RNA". It matches the Rfam family "Bacterial small subunit ribosomal RNA", at positions 524 to 776 of the family's 1533-position model. The record is from RNAcentral.
UACGGGGGGGGCAAGCGUUGUUCGGAAUUACUGGGCGUAAAGGGCUCGUAGGCGGCCAACUAAGUCGGAUGUGAAAUCCCCAGGCUUAACCUGGGAACUGCAUCCGAUACUGGAUGGCUUGAAUCCGGGAGAGGGAUGCGGAAUUCCAGGUGUAGCGGUGAAAUGCGUAGAUAUCGGGAGGAACACCUGUGGCGAAAGCGGCUCACUGGACCACAACUGACGCUGAGGCGCGAAAGCUAGGGGAGCAAACAGG